AGCGGCCUUUGCGGUUCCAACAUGGCGGAGCUGACGGUGGAGGUUCGCGGCUCUAACGGGGCUUUCUACAAGGAUUUAUCAAAGAUGUUCAUGAAGACUCCCUUACAGUUGUUUUUGAAAAUAAUGGCAACCAGAACGCCAGGUUCCAUUUAAUGAAGUUAGAUUACCACCACCACCUGAUAUAAAAAAAGAAAUUAGUGAAGGAGAUGAAGUAG
Molecule: long non-coding RNA, 215 nt
Filed under: Homo sapiens (human)
Lineage: Eukaryota; Metazoa; Chordata; Mammalia; Primates; Hominidae
Description: long non-coding RNA NONHSAT093452.2
Source: RNAcentral